AAAGAACACACACACAUAUAUAUAUAUACAUAACCGUGCCAUAUCCGUUAUAAAAUCUUGCUUUAAGUUUUCUUAGCAAAAAUUACAUCGCUUCAAAUGAUUUCCAUUGUUUUAAAUCUUUGGAUCACAAUAUUGUAAAUUUUUGCAUCUUGCAAUAAAUGAAGAAUUUUUCGACUGAGUAGUCAAAUAAAAAGGAAGAUCUGCGAUACAUUUACUUAGGAAUGUUGAAUUAUAUUGAACUUCUGAUGAAAUUUAUUUUCUCAACGUCUCUAUUGAUUAACACAUCAGAUUCCAUUGCAGCUAUUAACCAACUAGAAACCAUAGGCUGUUCAGGAAAUGAUCAAUGCUCUACACCUGAGUGCCUUGAAGCAGCUGUUGACAUCUACUACAGUUUGGAUAACACCACGAAUCCUUGUCAUGAUUUCUAUCAAUUCGCCUGUGGUGGCUGGCUGAACACACAUUUCCCUUUUGAUAUCUACCCACCCAUGGUUUCUGUUCUUACUGAAAUUUAUGAUGAUAAGUUCUUCAAACUCAGAGUAUUGUUAGAAAAAGACACAACGGAAGACGAAUCUUAUGAAAACUUGUUGAAAAGCAUGUACAGGUCUUGUAUGGAAACUGAAAAAAUCGAAGAAAAAGGUCUCGAGCCUCUAAAAGGAAUUCUGGACUCUCUCGGAGGGUGGCCAAUGUUGAAAGGGAAGAGCUGGGAUGCAGCGUCCUUUGACUGGAUUGAAACUCUCCGUCGACUUCGGGAGCUCGGCUACGAUCACAACAUCUUGAUAGGGUUGCAAGUUACCUCUAAUAAAAUCUUCGGACUUCCUCACACCAUAAUAUUGGAUCAUGCAUCAUUAGGAAUACCUCGCUCCAGUUUGUUGGAUUUAAAUCAUGAGGAAAGAUUUCUUUACUACCUCUGGAUGUUUAGAACAGCUCAAGAAAUGGACGCAAGAAAACAAAAUCUAUAUCUGGAAAACGAAAUCUGGGAUGCUCUCAAUUUUGAAGCAAUGUUGGCCAAAAUCUCUACGUCAAACGAGGAUAGCGCAGACCAUCAUUAUGAGCAUCACACCGUUAAGGAUCUCUUAAAUUCGGAAAAAGAGGUUGACUGGUUGAGAUUUUUCAGUGCACUGCUCAGUGAGCAGGUUACCGAAAAUGAGCACCUAUUUAUUAAAGAUAAAAAUUUCGUCACCAAAUUCGCCGAUUUAAUGAAAAAAACGGACAAGAGGGUUGUAGCCAACUACAUGAUGUGGAGAGUAAUUCAAGCAUCAUUUUCUCUUCUGCCGGAGCAAUGGAAGAACAUUGCUAAGUUUCAUAGCACAGGAAUGAUCACAAAAACCCCGCGCUGGAUAGAAUGCAUUUCUGAUUUAAGCAACAGUGGCCUGGAUAUAGCACUUAAUUCCUACUAUUUUCGACAUUACUCCGAAGAGGAAAACAAGGAUGCUGAGUUGAUGAUAAUUUCUAACAUGAAUGAAGAAUUCUUAAAUAUUCUUGAGACCGAAAACUGGAUUGAUGAAACAAUUAAAGAUCUCGUAAAAGAUACUAUGAACGUCAUAGAACAUCAUAUUGGAUAUCCAAAUGUUCUUCGGAAUGAUGAUUUAAUUUCUAAAAUAUAUAAAGAUUUAAAACUUAACGGAGACAGUUAUUUUGCCAAAACUUUACAAUUGCGCCGAUGGUCAACUCACUACUACUACUCUCGGUUUCGAAAACCUUAUGAAGAAAUUGAUUGGCUAAAAGAUAGGGUACGUUCUGCAGACGUAGCAGCUUAUGUACCCUUCUCGAGCAGCAUUGAACUCCCCGAGGAAUAUUUGCGUUAUCCAUAUUUUAGCAAGGAUUUACCCGGGUAUUUGAAUUUUGGAGGCUUAGGGUUUGCUUUUGGUCGCCAAAUUGUGUAUGGAUUAUAUGAUAUAGGUGAAGAAAUUAUUUACAUAAAAAUAUAAGCUCAGCAGUUUAGUAAAAAUAGUAGGCAGCCGAACGAAAUAGAUGGCCAGCAGUGUUUCAAAGAACAAUAUGUUGAAAGUAGAAUGAAGAUAAAUAGCAAAAAGACGCUAUUAGAAAGUAUGGCUGACAAUGGAGGUUUGAG
Molecule: unclassified non-coding RNA, 2071 nt
Filed under: Stegodyphus dumicola
Lineage: Eukaryota; Metazoa; Arthropoda; Arachnida; Araneae; Eresidae
Description: neprilysin-2-like, transcript variant X1
Source: RNAcentral